RNAcentral lists this long non-coding RNA (575 nucleotides) under Homo sapiens (human). RNAcentral's name for it is "HSALNT0301135". The record is from RNAcentral. Lineage: Eukaryota; Metazoa; Chordata; Mammalia; Primates; Hominidae.
UCAUGGGAUUGAAAUGCUGGACACACACUGGCUCCCCUGGUGAGCUGUUACCAAACUUCAGCCCUGAAGAGUUUGCGGUGCCCCAGAACCAGCGCCCUUCGCACCACCAUGGCCCGAGUAGGUCCUCCUCUGGAUAAGACCUCAGCACAGCUCUCUUUUCUGAUGCUGCCAGCAGGGAAAUUGGGAGCAUCCUUUCUCCUUCAUCUGGAGAGGUAGCUGAAUAAGGAUUCUUGGAGUUCCUAUUUUCUUCUUUCAACUGAGGAUCAUUCAAAAUCAUCUGUAAGACACUGUGAGUGCCUCACAUUGCCAGAUCUUAACCUAUCCCAGACCCUGCAAACCUUGGCCACAUUUCUGUAGUGCCUACAGCUGUCACAUAGGGCGCUACUCCAGAAUACGGCUGGGUGGACUUCUGCAUGUUCACAGUCAGUGCAUCCAUGGAGAUUAUCUCAGAGGACAGCUUCCUACAGCGUGGAUGAACAGACACACGCCUGUGGCUUUGUUCUCCUUCUUUUUGCAUUGGGUUGACCUGUGUAUCAAUUUGAAAUCCCAAGAAAUCCCUCUUUUUUCCAUUUUGC